RNAcentral lists this ribosomal RNA (559 nucleotides) under uncultured bacterium. RNAcentral's name for it is "bacterial SSU rRNA". It matches the Rfam family "Bacterial small subunit ribosomal RNA", at positions 338 to 916 of the family's 1533-position model. The record is from RNAcentral.
CCUACGGGAGGCAGCAGUGAGGAAUUUUCCGCAAUGGGCGAAAGCCUGACGGAGCAAUACCGCGUGAGGGAUGAAGGAUUUUGGUCUGUAAACCUCUUUUCUCAAGAAAGAAGUUCUGACGGUACUUGAGGAAUAAGCAUCGGCUAACUCCGUGCCAGCAGCCGCGGUAAUACGGGGGAUGCAAGCGUUAUCCGGAAUGAUUGGGCGUAAAGCGCCUGUAGGUUGUUUAUUAAGUCCGUUGUUAAAGCCUAGGGCUCAACCCUAGAAAAGCAAUGGAAACUAGUAGACUAGAGUAUGGCAGGGGUAGAGGGAAUUUCUAGUGUAGCGGUGAAAUGCGUAGAUAUUAGAAAGAACACCGGUGGCGAAAGCGCUCUACUGGACCAUUACUGACACUCAGAGGCGAAAGCUAGGGUAGCAAAAGGGAUUAGAUACCCCUGUAGUCCUAGCCGUAAACGAUGGAUACUAGAUGUUGUGCAUUAUGUACAGUAUCGUAGCUAACGCGUUAAGUACCCCGCCUGGGGAGUACGCUCGCAAGGGUGAAACUCAAAGGAAUUGACGG